GAUGAAGAACGUAGUGAAAUGCGAUAAGUAAUGUGAAUUGCAGAAUUCAGUGAAUCAUCGAAUCUUUGAACGCACAUUGCGCCCGCCAGCAUUCUGGCGGGCAUGCCUGUUCGAGCGUCAUUUCAACCCCCGAGCCCCCCCGGGGGCCUCGGUGUUGGGGGACGGCACACCAGCCGCCCCCGAAAUGCAGUGGCGACCCCGCCGCAGCCUCCCCUGCGUAGUAGCACACACCUCGCACCGGAGCGCGGAGGCGGUCACGCCGUAAAACGCCCAACUUUCUUAGAGUUGACCUCGGAUCAGGUAGGAAUACCCGCUGAACUUAAGCAUAUCAAUAAGCGGAGGA
Molecule: unclassified non-coding RNA, 343 nt
Filed under: soil metagenome
Description: partial contains 5.8S ribosomal RNA, internal transcribed spacer 2, and large subunit ribosomal RNA
Rfam family: 5.8S ribosomal RNA (bases 1-120)
Source: RNAcentral